GUGCCAGCGCGCCGCGAGUAUGCUGCCAGCACCAGGUUGUGCGACAUCUGAUAGAGGGUGAGGGAGGUGACGAGGAAGAAGCGGUCGAGCAGCAGGUCGUCAGGCCGCUCCUUGACCACCAGAACCACCCGUCGCGGCUUGUCCCAGCUGUCGGCCUGAUACUGGAAGGCGUGGGUCCAGAUGCGUGGCUGUCAGGCCGGCGGCCUCGGGGCCGCUUCAUGUACGGGGGCCGCCAUGCGGUCGAGGACCGGGUUGGCCCGCAGCCGGGCGACAAAGUCGAUCCCCCGUGCGUCAAGGCCCGCCAGCAAACCCGCCGAGGGAAAGCCCGCGUCCAUGCGGAUCAUCGCGACCUUGCAAAGGUCCGCCGCCUGCGCACGGUCGACGACAUCGAGGAUCACGUCAGCGCGCCGUCGGCGGUGCCGACAUUGCCCGGCCGCAGGCGGGCAUCCAGCAUGUCGCCGGUCUCGGCGAUGGAGGUGACCAGCGGAUGGUAGAUGCGAGCAUAUAGUGACCGUCCACUCGGCCUUCGGCUGGUGGCCAUGAACCUCGAUGGGCAGACUGUCGACAUCCAGCGUGACCCGCGGCAACCGACGCCCGCCAUCAGCGCGCGCAGACCGCGGGCGGCGAAUCCACGACGCCCUCUCGCAAAC
This 650-nucleotide ribosomal RNA is filed under the name uncultured bacterium. Its description in RNAcentral is "partial 16S ribosomal RNA". The record is from RNAcentral.